ACAACAGACAAGAUACGACGAUCAACAAACUUUGGUUUGAAAGUUCCAGAUAUCUGCAGCAACAUGAGCGUUCAACCAGAAAUAAAAGUUGUCUUGUACAGCAAUACCAACCUCACUGGCGACUGUGUACCAGUCUCUGCAGACAUACCCGAUUUGACAAUCUUUAAGAACAGGGCUCAGUCAGCCAUUGUAAUCCAUGGAAGAUGGGAGCUGAAAAGCGCUGCGGGGAAUACAUACCCUCUUGUCGAGACAGUCGGAAAGUAUACUGACUUAGGUACUUUCAAACAACAGGCCAUGUCCAUCACCCGUGUAUAAGGCGCCGUUGACAUGAAGGAGACCCUCCCGACAAAAGGACAUACCAGCCACCUGCAUUUCUGCACUUUCCUGUACUCUUAAUUUUCCUUUACUCCAGAUUAUUAUGCUUUUAAUGUCUAACGUUUAGCUAUGCUUAAGUGGGUUUGCUUGAGGUGGGGAUAGGAAUCGACGUAGGUUGUAAGUGUGUGGUUAUUACAGUGUUCAGAGACACAGGGUGUACUCUCACUGCCUCUUUUGGACAGUUUUGUAAGUCAAAAUCACGAAUGGUCAUACUACCUACAGAUAAACUCGACAGAGCAAUUACAUCAUCUCAAUCCCAACAAUGAUGUCUUUAAUUUCACAGUAAAAUGAUUAUUAAAAAACGAUGCAGAAAAUUAUUGCUCCUUUCUAUUCUGUAGUGCUCGGUGUAACGUUAACUUUUCCACCUGUGCGCUUUGCUUCACAUAUACUAUGAUUCGUUUUGAACAAUGAAAGCUAAAAAGAUGAAGGUCACAUUGCGUUGUUGAAAUUAAGUCUUAAAUUGAAGAAGUUGUAUUGAUAUUUGAACAUGCGUAGAGCAAAAUUAGGAACAGUCAAUUUUCAAGCGCUCGCUACUCUUUUGAUGAUGAAUUUUCUGCCCUCAGUGUUGUACAUUAUGUUAUUUGACACUAUACAGAGUAAAGAAAUAAUAGACAAAAGUGGGGAAAAUUGUGAUUCCUUUCGUUGUUGAAAAUAAACAUUUGAUGAAAUUUUUACAUUUCUUGCGUGUUUGUAUUCGUGCACAUGAGGUAUGACCGUGUCUUUGUCUGUUGCAAAUAAACACAAAUCUUGGAUUUCCA
Molecule: long non-coding RNA, 1133 nt
Filed under: Haliotis rubra (blacklip abalone)
Lineage: Eukaryota; Metazoa; Mollusca; Gastropoda; Lepetellida; Haliotidae
Description: uncharacterized LOC124277534
Source: RNAcentral